GAUGAACGCUGGCGGCGUGCCUAAUACAUGCAAGUCGAGCGAACAGACGAGGAGCUUGCUCCUCUGACGUUAGCGGCGGACGGGUGAGUAACACGUGGAUAACCUACCUAUAAGACUGGGAUAACUUCGGGAAACCGGAGCUAAUACCGGAUAAUAUAUUGAACCGCAUGGUUCAAUAGUGAAAGACGGUUUUGCUGUCACUUAUAGAUGGAUCCGCGCCGCAUUAGCUAGUUGGUAAGGUAACGGCUUACUAAGGCAACGAUGCGUAGCCGACCUGAGAGGGUGAUCGGCCACACUGGAACUGAGACACGGUCCAGACUCCUACGGGAGGCAGCAGUAGGGAAUCUUCCGCAAUGGGCGAAAGCCUAACGGAGCAACGCCGCGUGAGUGAUGAAGGUCUUCGGAUCGUAAAACUCUGUUAUUAGGGAAGAACAAAUGUGUAAGUAACUAUGCACGUCUUGACGGUACCUAAUCAGAAAGCCACGGCUAACUACGUG
Molecule: ribosomal RNA, 497 nt
Filed under: uncultured bacterium
Lineage: Bacteria
Description: partial 16S ribosomal RNA
Rfam family: Bacterial small subunit ribosomal RNA
Source: RNAcentral